GAUGAACGCUGGCGGCGUGCCUAAUACAUGCAAGUCGAGCGAACAGACGAGGAGCUUGCCCCUCUGACGUUAGCGGCGGACGGGUGAGUAACACGUGGAUAACCUACCUAUAAGACUGGGAUAACUUCGGGAAACCGGAGCCAAUACCGGAUAAUAUAUUGAACCGCAUGGUUCAAUAGUGAAAGACGGUUUUGCUGUCACUUAUAGAUGUUUCCACGCUGCAUUAGCUAGUUGGUAAGGUAACGGCUUACCAAGGCAACGAUGCGUAGCCGACCUGAGAGGGUGAUCGGCCACACUGGAACUGAGACACGGUCCAGACUCCUACGGGAGGCAGCAGUAGGGAAUCUUCCGCAAUGGGCGAAAGCCUGACGGAGCAACGCCGCGUGAGUGAUGAAGGUCUUCGGAUCGUAAAACUCUGUUAUUAGGGAAGAACAAAUGUGUAAGUAACUAUGCACGUCUUGACGGUACCUAAUCAGAAAGCCACGGCUAACUACGUG
This 497-nucleotide ribosomal RNA is filed under the name uncultured bacterium. RNAcentral's name for it is "partial 16S ribosomal RNA". It matches the Rfam family "Bacterial small subunit ribosomal RNA", at positions 28 to 507 of the family's 1533-position model. The record is from RNAcentral.